Long non-coding RNA from Mesocricetus auratus (golden hamster), 1345 nucleotides. RefSeq lists it as uncharacterized. The transcript has 2 exons. The record is from RefSeq and is a predicted model, not a curated record. Lineage: Eukaryota; Metazoa; Chordata; Mammalia; Rodentia; Cricetidae.
AGAGUGCCAAUUCAGUCCUUCACUAACACAAAUUGUGGCGUGUCUGGGGAAACCAUGGGGUCAGCACCCCAGGAAUGAAAUGGAUGAGCUUUGCCCUGGGGAAGCCACCUUUAUGAACGUGGGUCUCUCCUGCAAGGCGGGAAGCCUCGUUGGAAGACAGCUCCCACCAAGAGUUGUUGAUAGUUGACGUAUGCUCCUGGCUCCUUACAGCAGGCAGCUUCCUUCCCUGCAUGGGUCUGCAAGAAAGCAAGGAGGAAGCCAUGUGUUCUAUUUUAUCUCCUAGUUUGGGGGCAACAAUCCAUUCCUUUCUCUGUGCAACCCAGAGAAUUGAGUCUUUCCCCAAGGGAAGAACAUGGCUUCUCUUACAGAAAGAGAAGAAGAAGAAGAAGAAGAAGAAGAAGAAGAAGAAGAAGAAGAAGAAGAAGAAGAAGAAGAAGAAGAAGAAGACAUCAUCAUGUUAAUCUCUAUCUCCCACCUUAAUGGCAAUUCUGUUUUGUUGUUGUUUGCCGUUUCAUUUCUACUUGUUUAUUGUGCUAGAGUCUCCUGUAGCUCAGACUAGCUUUCAACUUCUGAUCCCGCCUCCUCCUCUCCUGGGCUAGGGUUAUAGGCUUGGGCUGUCACCCCCAGCUCUCUCAUAUCAAUUCUUAACUGAUGAAAGGUAGCACCAGUAUUGCUUUCUACCCCUUAAGGCCUCACGGUGACCACCGCAAUGGGAACAGAGUAGCAGAGGCCUAAGAACCAGAUAACUGGCCAUCUAGUCAGGGUUUCUAUUGCUGUGAAAACCAUGACCACAGUCAGUUGUGGAGGAAAGGGUUUGUUUCACUCACAUUUCCAUAUCACAGUCAUCACCAGUGCAACUGUUUACCAUCAAUUGAAGUAUGGCCAGGAACUCAAACAGGGCAGGAACCUGGAGGCCAUGGAGCGGUGCUGCUCACAGGCUUGCUCAGCCUGCUUUCUUUUAGAACCCAGGACCACCAGCCCAGAGUGGUGCUACCAUGGGCCUGGAUCCUCAUUCUUCAGUCACUGAGAAAGUGCCCUACAGUCUUGCCUAGAGUCCAAUCUUACGAGACAUUUUCUCAAUUGAGUUCCUCCUCUCUGAUGACUCUAGCUUGUGUCAACCUGACAUAAAACUAUCCAGGACGCAAGCUUCCUCCAGUUCUACAGCAGAUACCCUCUGUGAGGCAAAUCAGUCCCAGGCCUUGUUUGUCCCAGUACCACUUGCUAAGACUUAGGUACUCUUUAACAUUCUUUUUCAAAUCCAAAUUUGAUUUUGAUUUCUAUAUUCAUCUUAUAGGAAAUUAUUACCUAACAUUUGAUCUUUUUGAAGUAAAAAAUGAAAAUUCUA